CAAUAUUAUGCGACUGUGGAAGUGAGAAAGUUAAAACCCUAAUUAGCGCUCCGUCGGGGUGAGGAAGAAAGGCAAAUCAAAGGAGUGAGAAAUCGGGAAGAUGAAUUCGGUGGGUGGCGGAAACAUUGGCAUGAUAAAGAAUUCAGUGGUGAGGUAUUUCUCUCGGAAACGCUCAGUGAAUGUCAGGAAGAUAAAUCCUAAGGUUCCGUUCCCUGAAGCUGCUUCAAUUUCUCACUCUCUUUACAAUAUCAUCAAGCAGCAUGGACCUCUCAACGUUUCCAGCACUUGGAAUUACGCCAAGGAGUCUAC
RNAcentral lists this unclassified non-coding RNA (309 nucleotides) under Hevea brasiliensis (rubber tree). Lineage: Eukaryota; Viridiplantae; Streptophyta; Magnoliopsida; Malpighiales; Euphorbiaceae. The record is from RNAcentral.